Long non-coding RNA from Musa acuminata AAA Group (dessert banana), 1002 nucleotides. RefSeq lists it as uncharacterized. The transcript is spliced from 5 exons. The record is from RefSeq and is a predicted model, not a curated record. NCBI's taxonomy places the organism in Eukaryota, Viridiplantae, Streptophyta, Magnoliopsida, Zingiberales, Musaceae.
GACGUUAUCUUUCCUACUUCGGUCUCGUGGUCGCUCUCCGGCAAGGAGCAGCGGAAAAACCCCAGCAGGCCCUGCUUCUGAACUCCUCGAAGACCCUCGGAGCACUUCGAACACCUCUUCCAAUUCGAUCUCCUGUGUUGAGACGAGAUGGCGGCGAAGAUAGAUCAUGAAUGGACUGGAAUUCGGCAGUUCCCCUUUGAAUUUAAGCACAUUGACAAUUCUAGUUAUGGGAAAGGCUGGAGUUGGGAAGUCAUCUACUGUGAACUCCGUUUUAGGGGAGAAGGUGGCCACUGUUAGUGCUUUUCAGGUUUCUUUUGAACAAGACUAUAGAUAUUCUUCUAUAUGUGGACUGGUUGGAUGCAUAUAGGGUGGAUAGUUUGGAUAGACUGGUCAUCAGAGCCAUAACUGACACAUCUGGCAAAAGAAUAUGACACAGAUCUUUGGUUGUUUGAACUCAUGCAUAGCUGUCUCCACCAGAUGGAAUGAAAUAUGAUGAUUUCUUUGCUAAACGAGCAGGAGCACUUCUCACAUGCAUUCACUUGUGUGCUUGAAUUAAGAAGCAGGAGUUUCAGUACUUCGUCGUGGUUAAAGGUAUUCAACCUUCUAUAAAGGCAGACAUUAAGAAGGAAGCUAAGCCACUAUGGGAGCUUGGCGACAUGGGCUUAGAAAAUUGUAAACCUUUUCUUCUUCAACAUCGACGAUGCUUGUUUUUGUUUUUGUUACAGCAAUGUAUUCCUGAUGAUCUCUCUAAUAUAUCAUAAGGGUGCUUAAUUGUAAAUAGUUGAUUAAGUAGAAGAUCAGAUUUAUCUGGCUCAGGAUGAGAUGCUUGUUUAUGUUUUUGUUACAGUAAUGUAUUCCUGAUGAUCUCUCUAAUGUAUCAUAAGGGUGAUUAAUUGUAAAUAGUUGAUUAAGUGGAAGAUCAGAUUUAUCUGGCUGAGGAUGAGUUGUUGUAGCCUUUCAUGGUUAGACAGUUGAACGGCUGCAUAAGAUAUAUUUGUUUCA